Molecule: long non-coding RNA, 914 nt
Organism: Struthio camelus australis
Lineage: Eukaryota; Metazoa; Chordata; Aves; Struthioniformes; Struthionidae
Source: RefSeq, a predicted model, not a curated record
CCACAAUACAAACACUGAAAUAAAAGUUCCGUGUCACACAGGAGAAUCAUGACAAAGUCAAGUAAUUAAAUCUGCAUCUCACCAAGUUUAUUGCCAUACUGGCUCUUCUCCAAGAGGCUAUCUGCAAAUGUAAAGAAGUAGAACCAGCCGGUGGUUAUCAUCACGUCAUUUUACUUAAGGCACUGGUAAUGAGCAGCAGGAGUCAGAUUUCUUGAUUGCUAAUUUUUAUUGCUAGCAACAAGGUCCCUCUCAGCUGGGAGCACAAGAAGGACACUGAGCAGUUCUUUGUUACAUCUUAUAAGCUGAGGUAUUCUCUUCUCUUCAGUGGAUGCUCAAGGAACUGGAACGUCCUCCAAGGAGGUCGCUGUGUUUAGAGCCGCCUUCACUUGGGAGCGAUGAAUCCAAGCAAUGAAUCCAAGUUUCUUUACCUGCAACCUUACGAGCAGGAUAAGUGCAUAAUAACACUUGUAUGAGGUCUUCCCGUUUUGGUUGUUGCACGUUUUUUGGCUUUAUGAGUUUUUACCAUAACAUAAUCACCUGGUCAAUACCGGAUGAAGGUAAUCUCCUAAAGGCAGAGGUUGGAUAAUUACAGCUUCAUAUCUUUUGUUUUUAAAACUAUUCUGUAGAUACAUUCCAUACUGGAUAACAGCUUCAUCUCCUGCGAAAAGUCUUGUAUGUGCUGGGACAAAAGUCCCUGAGAUUCUAUCUGGUCUACCAAACAAAAUUUCAAAUGGGAUCAAACCAUGGCUUGGGCCCGGAUGUUGUCUUUGUUCCCAUAAUGCUAAUGGCAAUGCUUCUGUCCACUUUAACUGAGUCUCCCCACAAAUUUUAGCUAACUUCAUUUUUAGUGUAUGUUUCAUUCUUUCUACCUGCCCUGAAGAUAGGGGAAGAUAAGGUGUAUGUAGUCUUCUUGG